GGGUGGGCAAAAAAAUCCAUAUUUUGGAUUUUAAACCAAAUCCAAACCAAACCAUUUUAAAAAAACCAGUUUUAAACCAAAAAAAAUCCAAACCAAAUUACAUUUAUUUUAUAAUUUGGUUUUUGAUCCAAUCCAUUUAAAUGGUUUUAAAUCCGGAUCCAAAUCCAGAUCCAAAUUAAGAUCCGGAUCUAAAAAAACCCUAAUUGAGUCUUCUCCUCUUCGACAAAUCCAUUCAAAAAAACCAAAUCCACUCUUCGCCACCGUCAACAUUUCUUCCUCUCUGCCUCUCGUCGGAGCUCGCCGGUGGUUCGUCGGCCUCUACCUCUUCGAGUCUAUAGUCUUCACUUUGAUUCGAGACUCUGUCUCUCUGCCUCAACCUCCCAUUCGCGACUCUGUCUUCUCUCUUUUUCGGUUCUCUUCUUCUUUCGUUGGUGGCUCGCCGGAGCUCAUGCUCAUCAAUUGAGGGCUUCCUAUCAUGAUAGGUUAAUUGAACCCCAUUAAGUUUUCUAUUUUAACCUUAUCUGUUGUUGUAUCUGGUAAUGAAACCUUGUAGCAUGUUGAUAUAAUCGUUAUAGUGGUGUAAAUUUUACA
Molecule: non-coding RNA, 591 nt
Organism: Arachis ipaensis
Lineage: Eukaryota; Viridiplantae; Streptophyta; Magnoliopsida; Fabales; Fabaceae
Source: RefSeq, a predicted model, not a curated record